This 2912-nucleotide ribosomal RNA is filed under the name Pseudomonas aeruginosa. RNAcentral describes it as "23S ribosomal RNA". It matches the Rfam family "Bacterial large subunit ribosomal RNA". The record is from RNAcentral. Lineage: Bacteria; Pseudomonadati; Pseudomonadota; Gammaproteobacteria; Pseudomonadales; Pseudomonadaceae.
GUUAUAUGGUCAAGUGAAGAAGCGCAUACGGUGGAUGCCUUGGCAGUCAGAGGCGAUGAAAGACGUGGUAGCCUGCGAAAAGCUUCGGGGAGUCGGCAAACAGACUUUGAUCCGGAGAUCUCUGAAUGGGGGAACCCACCUAGGAUAACCUAGGUAUCUUGUACUGAAUCCAUAGGUGCAAGAGGCGAACCAGGGGAACUGAAACAUCUAAGUACCCUGAGGAAAAGAAAUCAACCGAGAUUCCCUUAGUAGUGGCGAGCGAACGGGGAUUAGCCCUUAAGCUUCAUUGAUUUUAGCGGAACGCUCUGGAAAGUGCGGCCAUAGUGGGUGAUAGCCCCGUACGCGAAAGGAUCUUUGAAGUGAAAUCGAGUAGGACGGAGCACGAGAAACUUUGUCUGAACAUGGGGGGACCAUCCUCCAAGGCUAAAUACUACUGACUGACCGAUAGUGAACCAGUACCGUGAGGGAAAGGCGAAAAGAACCCCGGAGAGGGGAGUGAAAUAGAACCUGAAACCGUAUGCGUACAAGCAGUGGGAGCCUACUUGUUAGGUGACUGCGUACCUUUUGUAUAAUGGGUCAGCGACUUAUAUUCAGUGGCAAGCUUAACCGUAUAGGGUAGGCGUAGCGAAAGCGAGUCUUAAUAGGGCGUUUAGUCGCUGGGUAUAGACCCGAAACCGGGCGAUCUAUCCAUGAGCAGGUUGAAGGUUAGGUAACACUGACUGGAGGACCGAACCCACUCCCGUUGAAAAGGUAGGGGAUGACUUGUGGAUCGGAGUGAAAGGCUAAUCAAGCUCGGAGAUAGCUGGUUCUCCUCGAAAGCUAUUUAGGUAGCGCCUCAUGUAUCACUCUGGGGGGUAGAGCACUGUUUCGGCUAGGGGGUCAUCCCGACUUACCAAACCGAUGCAAACUCCGAAUACCCAGAAGUGCCGAGCAUGGGAGACACACGGCGGGUGCUAACGUCCGUCGUGAAAAGGGAAACAACCCAGACCGCCAGCUAAGGUCCCAAAGUUGUGGUUAAGUGGUAAACGAUGUGGGAAGGCUUAGACAGCUAGGAGGUUGGCUUAGAAGCAGCCAUCCUUUAAAGAAAGCGUAAUAGCUCACUAGUCGAGUCGGCCUGCGCGGAAGAUGUAACGGGGCUCAAACCACACACCGAAGCUGCGGGUGUCACGUAAGUGACGCGGUAGAGGAGCGUUCUGUAAGCCUGUGAAGGUGAGUUGAGAAGCUUGCUGGAGGUAUCAGAAGUGCGAAUGCUGACAUGAGUAACGACAAUGGGUGUGAAAAACAUCCACGCCGAAAGACCAAGGGUUCCUGCGCAACGUUAAUCGACGCAGGGUUAGUCGGUUCCUAAGGCGAGGCUGAAAAGCGUAGUCGAUGGGAAACAGGUUAAUAUUCCUGUACUUCUGGUUACUGCGAUGGAGGGACGGAGAAGGCUAGGCCAGCUUGGCGUUGGUUGUCCAAGUUUAAGGUGGUAGGCUGAAAUCUUAGGUAAAUCCGGGGUUUCAAGGCCGAGAGCUGAUGACGAGUCGUCUUUUAGAUGACGAAGUGGUUGAUGCCAUGCUUCCAAGAAAAGCUUCUAAGCUUCAGGUAACCAGGAACCGUACCCCAAACCGACACAGGUGGUCGGGUAGAGAAUACCAAGGCGCUUGAGAGAACUCGGGUGAAGGAACUAGGCAAAAUGGCACCGUAACUUCGGGAGAAGGUGCGCCGGCUAGGGUGAAGGAUUUACUCCGUAAGCUCUGGCUGGUCGAAGAUACCAGGCCGCUGCGACUGUUUAUUAAAAACACAGCACUCUGCAAACACGAAAGUGGACGUAUAGGGUGUGACGCCUGCCCGGUGCCGGAAGGUUAAUUGAUGGGGUUAGCGCAAGCGAAGCUCUUGAUCGAAGCCCCGGUAAACGGCGGCCGUAACUAUAACGGUCCUAAGGUAGCGAAAUUCCUUGUCGGGUAAGUUCCGACCUGCACGAAUGGCGUAACGAUGGCGGCGCUGUCUCCACCCGAGACUCAGUGAAAUUGAAAUCGCUGUGAAGAUGCAGUGUAUCCGCGGCUAGACGGAAAGACCCCGUGAACCUUUACUGUAGCUUUGCACUGGACUUUGAGCCUGCUUGUGUAGGAUAGGUGGGAGGCUUUGAAGCGUGGACGCCAGUUCGCGUGGAGCCAUCCUUGAAAUACCACCCUGGCAUGCUUGAGGUUCUAACUCUGGUCCGUAAUCCGGAUCGAGGACAGUGUAUGGUGGGCAGUUUGACUGGGGCGGUCUCCUCCUAAAGAGUAACGGAGGAGUACGAAGGUGCGCUCAGACCGGUCGGAAAUCGGUCGCAGAGUAUAAAGGCAAAAGCGCGCUUGACUGCGAGACAGACACGUCGAGCAGGUACGAAAGUAGGUCUUAGUGAUCCGGUGGUUCUGUAUGGAAGGGCCAUCGCUCAACGGAUAAAAGGUACUCCGGGGAUAACAGGCUGAUACCGCCCAAGAGUUCAUAUCGACGGCGGUGUUUGGCACCUCGAUGUCGGCUCAUCACAUCCUGGGGCUGAAGCCGGUCCCAAGGGUAUGGCUGUUCGCCAUUUAAAGUGGUACGCGAGCUGGGUUUAGAACGUCGUGAGACAGUUCGGUCCCUAUCUGCCGUGGACGUUUGAGAUUUGAGAGGGGCUGCUCCUAGUACGAGAGGACCGGAGUGGACGAACCUCUGGUGUUCCGGUUGUCACGCCAGUGGCAUUGCCGGGUAGCUAUGUUCGGAAAAGAUAACCGCUGAAAGCAUCUAAGCGGGAAACUUGCCUCAAGAUGAGAUCUCACUGGGAACUUGAUUCCCCUGAAGGGCCGUCGAAGACUACGACGUUGAUAGGCUGGGUGUGUAAGCGUUGUGAGGCGUUGAGCUAACCAGUACUAAUUGCCCGUGAGGCUUGACCAUAUAACACCCAAACA